UCCUACGGGGCGCAGCAGCUAAGAAUAUUGGGCAAUGGAGGAAACUCUGACCCAGCCAUGCCGCGUGAAUGAAGAAGGCCUUCGGGUUGUAAAGUUCUUUUCGUCGUGAAGAUGAUGACGGUAGCGACAGAAAAAGCACCGGCUAACUUCGUGCCAGCAGCCGCGGUAAUACGUAGGGGGCUAGCGUUAUCCGGAAUUACUGGGCGUAAAGGGUGCGUAGGUGGUUUCUUAAGUCAGAGGUGAAAGGCUACGGCUCAACCGUAGUAAGCCUUUGAAACUGGGAAACUUGAGUGCAGGAGAGGCGG
Molecule: ribosomal RNA, 305 nt
Filed under: uncultured bacterium
Lineage: Bacteria
Description: bacterial SSU rRNA
Rfam family: Bacterial small subunit ribosomal RNA
Source: RNAcentral